GACGAACGCUGGCGGCGUGCCUAAUACAUGCAAGUCGAACGAACUCUGGUAUUGAUUGGUGCUUGCAUCAUGAUUUACAUUUGAGUGAGUGGCGAACUGGUGAGUAACACGUGGGAAACCUGCCCAGAAGCGGGGGAUAACACCUGGAAACAGAUGCUAAUACCGCAUAACAACUUGGACCGCAUGGUCCGAGCUUGAAAGAUGGCUUCGGCUAUCACUUUUGGAUGGUCCCGCGGCGUAUUAGCUAGAUGGUGGGGUAACGGCUCACCAUGGCAAUGAUACGUAGCCGACCUGAGAGGGUAAUCGGCCACAUUGGGACUGAGACACGGCCCAAACUCCUACGGGAGGCAGCAGUAGGGAAUCUUCCACAAUGGACGAAAGUCUGAUGGAGCAACGCCGCGUGAGUGAAGAAGGGUUUCGGCUCGUAAAACUCUGUUGUUAAAGAAGAACAUAUCUGAGAGUAACUGUUCAGGUAUUGACGGUAUUUAACCAGAAAGCCACGGCUAACUACGUGCCAGCAGCCGCGGUAAUACGUAGGUGGCAAGCGUUGUCCGGAUUUAUUGGGCGUAAAGCGAGCGCAGGCGGUUUUUUAAGUCUGAUGUGAAAGCCUUCGGCUCAACCGAAGAAGUGCAUCGGAAACUGGGAAACUUGAGUGCAGAAGAGGACAGUGGAACUCCAUGUGUAGCGGUGAAAUGCGUAGAUAUAUGGAAGAACACCAGUGGCGAAGGCGGCUGUCUGGUCUGUAACUGACGCUGAGGCUCGAAAGUAUGGGUAGCAAACAGGAUUAGAUACCCUGGUAGUCCAUACCGUAAACGAUGAAUGCUAAGUGUUGGAGGGUUUCCGCCCUUCAGUGCUGCAGCUAACGCAUUAAGCAUUCCGCCUGGGGAGUACGGCCGCAAGGCUGAAACUCAAAGGAAUUGACGGGGGCCCGCACAAGCGGUGGAGCAUGUGGUUUAAUUCGAAGCUACGCGAAGAACCUUACCAGGUCUUGACAUACUAUGCAAAUCUAAGAGAUUAGACGUUCCCUUCGGGGACAUGGAUACAGGUGGUGCAUGGUUGUCGUCAGCUCGUGUCGUGAGAUGUUGGGUUAAGUCCCGCAACGAGCGCAACCCUUAUUAUCAGUUGCCAGCAUUAAGUUGGGCACUCUGGUGAGACUGCCGGUGACAAACCGGAGGAAGGUGGGGAUGACGUCAAAUCAUCAUGCCCCUUAUGACCUGGGCUACACACGUGCUACAAUGGAUGGUACAACGAGUUGCGAACUCGCGAGAGUAAGCUAAUCUCUUAAAGCCAUUCUCAGUUCGGAUUGUAGGCUGCAACUCGCCUACAUGAAGUCGGAAUCGCUAGUAAUCGCGGAUCAGCAUGCCGCGGUGAAUACGUUCCCGGGCCUUGUACACACCGCCCGUCACACCAUGAGAGUUUGUAACACCCAAAGUCGGUGGGGUAACCUUUUAGGAACCAGCCGCCUAAGGUGGGACAGAUGAUUA
Molecule: ribosomal RNA, 1484 nt
Filed under: Lactiplantibacillus plantarum
Lineage: Bacteria; Bacillati; Bacillota; Bacilli; Lactobacillales; Lactobacillaceae
Description: bacterial SSU rRNA
Rfam family: Bacterial small subunit ribosomal RNA
Source: RNAcentral